GGUGACCUCGGAUCAGUAGAUGCA
Molecule: ribosomal RNA, 24 nt
Filed under: Exophiala sideris
Lineage: Eukaryota; Fungi; Ascomycota; Eurotiomycetes; Chaetothyriales; Herpotrichiellaceae
Description: partial 28S ribosomal RNA
Source: RNAcentral